RNAcentral lists this ribosomal RNA (403 nucleotides) under Verrucomicrobiota bacterium. Its description in RNAcentral is "Verrucomicrobia bacterium partial 16S ribosomal RNA". It matches the Rfam family "Bacterial small subunit ribosomal RNA", at positions 355 to 776 of the family's 1533-position model. Lineage: Bacteria; Pseudomonadati; Verrucomicrobiota. The record is from RNAcentral.
UGGGGAAUAUUGCACAAUGGGGGAAACCCUGAUGCAGCGACGCCGCGUGAGCGAAGAAGGUUUUCGAAUCGUAAAGCUCUGUCCUAUGAGAAGAUAAUGACGGUAUCAUAGGAGGAAGCCCCGGCUAAAUACGUGCCAGCAGCCGCGGUAAUACGUAUGGGGCGAGCGUUGUCCGGAAUUAUUGGGCGUAAAGGGUACGUAGGCGGUCUAUUAAGUCAGGUGUGAAAGCGUGAGGCUUAACCUCAUUAAGCACUUGAAACUGAUAGACUUGAGUGAAGGAGAGGAAAGUGGAAUUCCUAGUGUAGCGGUGAAAUGCGUAGAUAUUAGGAGGAAUACCGGUGGCGAAGGCGACUUUCUGGACUUAUACUGACGCUAAGGUACGAAAGCGUGGGGAGCAAACAGG